GCGCCACCGAUUUUCCAAGAUGGCCGCGCCCAUUAGUUGGAGCAUGAGAAGAUUUUACAUCAAUGCUUUUAGAUACCAUAUCCGAUGCCAGCAUGUUGGCUUGCAGAUACAGCUUUCCAAUAGGAGACCAUACAACACAAAGGCUCCACGGAACAUAUUAACCCUUCACGACAGAGGCAUCUUUCAAAAUGUCUAUCCCAGUGGCAGUACCCCAGAACUUGUUC
Pecten maximus is the source of this 224-nucleotide long non-coding RNA. RefSeq lists it as uncharacterized. The transcript is spliced from 3 exons. Lineage: Eukaryota; Metazoa; Mollusca; Bivalvia; Pectinida; Pectinidae. The record is from RefSeq and is a predicted model, not a curated record.